This 472-nucleotide ribosomal RNA is filed under the name uncultured bacterium. RNAcentral's name for it is "bacterial SSU rRNA". It matches the Rfam family "Bacterial small subunit ribosomal RNA", at positions 355 to 825 of the family's 1533-position model. The record is from RNAcentral.
UGGGGAAUUUUGGACAAUGGGGGCAACCCUGAUCCAGCCAUGCCGCGUGAGUGAAGAAGGCCUUCGGGUUGUAAAGCUCUUUCGGCGGGGACGAAACGGUCCGUGACAACACCACGGACUAAUGACAGUACUCGCAGAAGAAGCACCGGCUAACUACGUGCCAGCAGCCGCGGUAAUACGUAGGGUGCAGGCGUUAAUCGGAAUUACUGGGCGUAAAGCGUGCGCAGGCGGCUCCUUAAGUCAGAUGUGAAAUCCCCGGGCUUAACCUGGGAACUGCGUUUGAAACUGAGGGGCUAGAGUGUGGAAGAGGGGGGUGGAAUUCCAGGUGUAGCGGUGAAAUGCGUAGAUAUCCGGAGGAACACCAGUGGCGAAGGCGGCUUUCUGGACCGACACUGACGCUGAGGCGCGAAAGCUAGGGGAGCAAACGGGAUUAGAUACCCACGUAGUCCCUGAGCGGGCUGGCAAGGCGCAU